AAGAAAUAACAAUAUUCCGGAUAAUACGAUCUACAGAUUAAAAUUCAAAGAAAUUGGCGGUGUCUUAUAUAAUCAGGGGAACCUGUCCUUUAAUUCGAUAAUCCACGAAAAUAAAACCUAUAUUUGAAACUUCAGCUUGUGUACUGCUGUCGUCAGUAAACCUCUAAAAGAUAGUUUACAAUAAUAGAAACAACUAUUAACGUCAAGUCAAAGUGCAGCUAAUAUAUAGGGAGUUGAUGGGUUACAAUCUAAAUAUAGAAACGGAUAAAUUUAAUAAAAAUUUUUUGAAGGUGGACUUGAAAGUAAUAANUUAAAUAAUAAUAUUAUUAAUAAUAAUCUAAGACAUGCACACAUCGCCCGUCACUCUCCUU
Molecule: ribosomal RNA, 371 nt
Filed under: Globulidrilus riparius
Lineage: Eukaryota; Metazoa; Annelida; Clitellata; Enchytraeida; Enchytraeidae
Description: partial 12S ribosomal RNA
Rfam family: Bacterial small subunit ribosomal RNA
Source: RNAcentral